AACGAACGCUGGCGGCGUGCUUAACACAUGCAAGUCGAACGGAAAGGCCCUGCUUUUGGGGGGUGCUCGAGUGGCGAACGGGUGAGUAACACGUGAGUAACCUGCCCUUGACUGUGGGAUAACUUCAGGAAACUUGGGCUAAUACCGGAUAGGAGCUCCUGCUGCAUGGUGGGGGUUGGAAGGUUUCGGCGGUUGGGGAUGGACUCGCGGCUUAUCAGCUUGUUGGUGGGGUAGUGGCUUACCAAGGCUUUGACGGGUAGCCGGCCUGAGAGGGUGACCGGCUACAUUGGGACUGAGCUACGGCACAGACUCCUACGCGAGGCAGCAGUGCGGAAUAUUGCACAAUGGGCGGAAGCCUGCUGCAGCAACGCCGCGUGCGGGAUGACGGCCUUCGGGUUGUAAACCGCUUUCGCCUGUGACGAAGCGUGAGUGACGGUAAUGGGUAAAGAAGCACCGGCUAACUACGUG
This 468-nucleotide ribosomal RNA is filed under the name uncultured bacterium. RNAcentral describes it as "partial 16S ribosomal RNA". It matches the Rfam family "Bacterial small subunit ribosomal RNA", at positions 28 to 507 of the family's 1533-position model. The record is from RNAcentral.